CCUACGGGGUGCAGCAGUCGAGAAUCAUUCACAAUGGGGGAAACCCUGAUGGUGCGACGCCGCGUGGGGGAAUGAAGGUCUUCGGAUUGUAAACCCCUGUCAUGUGGGAGCAAAUUAAAAAGAUAGUACCACAAGAGGAAGAGACGGCUAACUCUGUGCCAGCAGCCGCGGUAAUACAAAGGUCUCAAGCGUUGUUCGGAAUCACUGGGCGUAAAGCGUGCGUAGGCGGUUUCGUAAGUCGUGUGUGAAAGGCGCGGGCUCAACCCGCGGACGGCACAUGAUACUGCGAGACUAGAGUAGUGGAGGGGGAACCGGAAUUCUCGGUGUAGCAGUGAAAUGCGUAGAUAUCGAGAGGAACACUCGUGGCGAAGGCGGGUUCCUGGACAUUAACUGACGCUGAGGCACGAAGGCCAGGGGAGCGAAAGGGAUUAGAUACCCUUGUAGUC
This 446-nucleotide ribosomal RNA is filed under the name uncultured bacterium. RNAcentral's name for it is "partial 16S ribosomal RNA". It matches the Rfam family "Bacterial small subunit ribosomal RNA", at positions 338 to 795 of the family's 1533-position model. The record is from RNAcentral.